Molecule: long non-coding RNA, 227 nt
Filed under: Theobroma cacao (cacao)
Lineage: Eukaryota; Viridiplantae; Streptophyta; Magnoliopsida; Malvales; Malvaceae
Description: long non-coding RNA (TCAC_LNC003734)
Source: RNAcentral
AGCAUGGUAUGAAAACUUUAUAACUUUCUUUCUCUAGCUCCAAAUUUCAUGCUUUUGCCCACUCUUUCAUACGAUUUUUCAUGCUCUUCCACUUUUACACCUUAAAACCCUCAAAAAGUCUUUGUUCAGCACUUUCUCUCACUAGUUGAAAGUUUUAGAGAGAGAAAGAGAGACUUGCCAUAGUAGCUUGGAAGCUUUUGAAAAGGAAUUCAACUACCAAAAAAAAA